AGCAGCCGCGGUAAUUCCAGCUCCAAUAGCGUAUAUUAAAGUUGCUGCAGUUAAAAGCUCGUAGUUGAAUUUCGGGAUUAAUAUGUCGGUCGUGCCUCGGUACGCACUGGCUUAUUGGUUUCUCCCUUCUGACGAACCAUGAUGUCAUUAAUUUGGUGUCUUGGGAAAUCAGGACUGUUACUUUGAAAAAUUAGAGUGUUUAAAGCAGGCUCACGCUUGAAUACACUAGCAUGGAAUAAUGAAAUAGGACGUUUGAUUCUAUUUUGUUGGUUUCUAGGAUCGACGUAAUGAUUAAUAGGGAUAGUUGGGGGGCAUUAGUAUUCAAUUGUCAGAGGUGAAAUUCUUGGAUUUAUUGAAGACUAACUACUGCGAAAGCAUUUGCCAAGGAUGUUU
Molecule: ribosomal RNA, 393 nt
Filed under: uncultured Glomeromycotina
Lineage: Eukaryota; Fungi; Glomeromycota
Description: SSU rRNA
Rfam family: Eukaryotic small subunit ribosomal RNA
Source: RNAcentral